AAAUAGAUACCCCGGGUAGUCCCAGCUGUAAACGAUGCGCGUUAGGUGUAUCGGUGACCACGAGUCACCGAGGUGCCGAAGGGAAACCGUGAAACGUGCCGCCUGGGAAGUACGGUCGCAAGGCUGAAACUUAAAGGAAUUGGCGGGGGAGCACCACAACAGGUGGAGCCUGCGGUUUAAUCGGACUCAACGCCGGGAAGCUCACCGGAUAAGACAGCUGAAUGAUAGCCGGGUUGAAGACUCUGCUUGACUAGCUGAGAGGAGGUGCAUGGCCGUCGUCAGUUCGUACUGUGAAGCAUCCUGUUAAGUCAGGCAACGAGCGAGACCCACGCCAACAGUUGCCAGCAUGUCCUCCGGGAUGGUGGGGACACUGUUGGGACCGCCUCUGCUAAAGAGGAGGAAGGAAUGGGGCAACGGUAGGUCAGCAUGCCCCGAAUUAUCCGGGCUACACGCGGGCUACAAUGGUCAGGACAAUGGGUAUCAACACCGAAAGGUGAAGGCAAUCUCUAAACCUGUCCUAGUUCGGAUUGUGGCUGCUAACCG
Molecule: ribosomal RNA, 543 nt
Filed under: uncultured bacterium
Lineage: Bacteria
Description: bacterial SSU rRNA
Rfam family: Archaeal small subunit ribosomal RNA
Source: RNAcentral